Molecule: long non-coding RNA, 277 nt
Filed under: Glycine max (soybean)
Lineage: Eukaryota; Viridiplantae; Streptophyta; Magnoliopsida; Fabales; Fabaceae
Description: long non-coding RNA (GMAX_LNC000354)
Source: RNAcentral
UUCUUUAAGCAAAUGGUUGCACACCAAGGACCAAGAAUCUUCACCCAUACCUAAUAAAGCAGCAAUCGCACGAUAUCCACAAUUACUGUCAGCUUUCACAUCCACAAUGUUGUCAAUUAAAUCGUGUAUGAACGGAUGAAAUUGAUCCAACAUCAGCAUGGUCCUUCUUGGAAUGGCCUGGUCAGAAGAUAAUGCACUAUGCUUCACCAAAGAAUUCCUAUUUUGCACAGAAUGUAAAACAUCAGUAUACUCCUAGUAAGACGGAUCAUGCUUUGUU